Manis pentadactyla (Chinese pangolin) is the source of this 1221-nucleotide long non-coding RNA. RefSeq lists it as uncharacterized. NCBI's taxonomy places the organism in Eukaryota, Metazoa, Chordata, Mammalia, Pholidota, Manidae. The transcript has 2 exons. The record is from RefSeq and is a predicted model, not a curated record.
UGUGUCCAGAGGCCAGCCAGGUGCCCAGGGCUGGUCUCAGGCUCCUUGAGGGCAAAGUCCAUGACUCACUCAUCCUCCUUGGACACCAACCUCCUCAGUACAGUAUUCAAGAUCACUGGCUGAAUGGUACAGAGCUGAACUCUGACCCUCUAGGGGCUGUCAGGACCUAGGGCCAGAGCACUGGCUUAGGGUGGAAGGCGAUGGCUUCUCCAGAGCUUCUGAUGGCUCUUGGAGACCAGGUCCCAACUCCCGAGCGAGGUAGAACCAGCUCUCUCCAACUGGCACCUUGAUCUCCACUGACAUGUAGGCUUUUUCCACAGGCCCUGGGCCUGUGUGCAUCUUGCCUAGUCUGGAAACUGCUGUCACUCCUCCCAAGCCUCCAGGACACCUGCCUGGUUGCCCUGGUGCCCCGCUCACUGGCUCCCAGGAUGCUCUGUGGCCUUUCUUAGGCCCCCAUUACACAUCUUAAAUACACUCCAUCACCAAUGCCUGGCUGUUUCUCCCCAGCCUGUGAACCACUGACUUUUUGCUUCCUGUAGCCUCGGGGACUGGCACAGAGUAGGUCCUUAAUAACACAUGCUGAAGGACUGACCGACCGUAUGUGAGAAGGUGUUCGUGGGGAGGGAGACAUCAGAUGUUUGGAGGCCCUCAGUCAAUGCCCACCAUCAUCUUCAUCACCGUCACCUUUACAGAACACAAUGCCGACUGAAGAGGUGUCCUGAGAAUAUGUGCAAAUUAACCAUUUUCCAAUCUCCAAGAAAGGUGGGUGGCGAGAAGAGGAUCAGAGUUGGGCAGCCGUGAUAGGGAAAGUCUCCCUGAAGGAGCUGAAUUUGAAUUAAGCUUUCGCAGAGGUGAAGCUCAGCGACAGGUCGUGAGCACAGGAGAAGGAAGGAAUAACAAGGACAAAUGCACGGAAAGGGGGCGAGGCCUGGGGCAGGUGGGCUGUUCCCUCCCGCCUCGUAGCGUCCUCUUCGGCAAGUCUUGCUCCCUGUAGCCACCACCAGGGGGCGCGCCAGACCGCAUUCCUCCGAGCUGGGCGGGGCCUCUCCCCACGGACUCCUCCCCAGCCCGCGGGGAUGUCCGCACUCUACAGCGUCCACCUGGCACAAAGUGGGGUUCCUGAUGGGACUUUUACAGCUGUUAUGUGUGUGUAAAACAUAAAACAUAAAUGUACAGUGAAUGCUUGUGUAAUUAUGAGACCCUGUGUAACUAUUACUCAAG